This 67-nucleotide transfer RNA is filed under the name Ictidomys tridecemlineatus (thirteen-lined ground squirrel). RNAcentral's name for it is "Spermophilus tridecemlineatus (thirteen-lined ground squirrel) tRNA". It matches the Rfam family "tRNA". From Rfam's summary of the family: Transfer RNA (tRNA) molecules are approximately 80 nucleotides in length. Their secondary structure includes four short double-helical elements and three loops (D, anti-codon, and T loops). The record is from Rfam by way of RNAcentral. Lineage: Eukaryota; Metazoa; Chordata; Mammalia; Rodentia; Sciuridae.
GGUCGUAGCUCAGUGGUGGAGCACUUGCUUAGCAUGCGUGAGGCACUGAGUUCAAUUCUCAGCACCA